GUUGCGAUCCUUUCAGGGGUGAUGAGCGAC
RNAcentral lists this non-coding RNA (30 nucleotides) under Micromonospora rosaria. The record is from RNAcentral. Lineage: Bacteria; Bacillati; Actinomycetota; Actinomycetes; Micromonosporales; Micromonosporaceae.